Bos taurus (domestic cattle) is the source of this 1941-nucleotide long non-coding RNA. The record is from Ensembl. Lineage: Eukaryota; Metazoa; Chordata; Mammalia; Artiodactyla; Bovidae.
GUUCUCCAAAGGGGAAAAAAUGAGGUUGAUGAGAAAGGCGGUUACUGGUUGAUAAGGAGGCAUUGAGAACUGCCUGCCUGCCACGUUUGAUUUUGAAAUCUCAGGCUCUUCGAAGCUUCUAUAAGGGGACAAGUAGUCACAAUGCUAUAGCUUGUAGCGGAUUGCAAAGAUGCUUGUAAAACACUCAAAGCCUAUUAAAAAUUCCCAGCAGAUCUCUUCUCCCAGAUCCUUCGCCACUCCCCACCAAUGAGCCGGUAUACAUUCAAGGGAAACAAAGAAGCAAUUCUAAAGCACAAAGGAGCUGCCCAACUAUUCCAGGAGUUUCCCCAGGCAGGGGAAAUGUGCGUCCUGACAUGCUUGGCUGGAACUGAUUGGGAACCAGACUGUGUUCACUGAGCAAGUUGAGAAAGAUUUGCCUCAAGCUUCGGCACAUUAUGAUGUCAUCUUUUGGCAUUUUAAAUAUUCAAGUGUGUAUCCUGAAAAGCCUCUUGCUUUCAUUUCUUGUUUAGGUUGAAUAAAAUAGGCCUGCUUCCAGCUUGUGCUAAUUUAAACUCUUAAGGCGAGCUUAGUUGCUCAGUCGUGCCCGACUCUUUGGAACCCUUUGGACUGUAGCAAGCCAGGUUCCUCUGUCCAUGGGAUUUUUAGGGAAAGAAUACUGGAGUGGGUUGCUAUUUCCUUUCUCCAGGGGAUCUUCCUGACCCAGAGAUCGAACCCACGUCUCCUGUGUCUCCUGUGAUUGCAGGCAGAUUCUUUACCUGCUGAGCCACUGGGGAAACCCAAAGCUCUUAAGGAGCCGGGUCUUAUCUAACCCAUUUGAGAAAAACAGUUCUGGUCUGACGGCAAGAAAGAACUGAAGUGGAAGACUGCACACUGGGUUCUGGGUCACUGCCUCGUGUGACCAGAAACGACCCAGGGACACGUUCCAGCCUCAUUUCCUCGCCGGUAAGAUGGACUAAGACAUCUUUACGGUUCCGUUCAGCUCUGAGAGUGCACGACUUGAGGACAAACGAACCAGAUAGCUAAAGGCUUGACUGUCACUUGUGGUUUCUGCUCCUUGAAAGGAGUGGGGAUUAGCUGCCAUUUAGACACAGGAAUGCAGUGCUUUGAUUAUUUGGGUGUCUGUUUUCACAGGCAUUGAAGCUGAACCCACUGCCAGCCGUAAGACCUGACCGGACCUCUCCUCUCCUUUGGAACUAAGCAGGCUGGGCUGAUAUGUGACACCAUAGAGGUGUGGCCCCCCACCAGCCCCAUUAGAUUAAACCCCACCUUGUUGCUUACUUGGUGUGUGGCCUUGGUUAACCACAAACCCACCUAAACACCCCACUGGCAAGCCCGCUGAAUACUGUUGCUUCUUACCCAGCCUCUUAGGGAUAUGAUUAGAAGACUGACUUAUAAUGUCAAGAUGUUACUUUCCUAAAGCCCUGGUUGUAACUCCAGGCAAGAUGACUGUCUUAGCCACUUCAUUCCUAGAUGAGACUGAACUCACCCGGGGUCCUUGGGGUGCACGGAAUAAAGAAUGUGGCCCAUCAAUGAUGCUACCGAUUCAGGAAGGCCCUCUAUAAAUCCAUCUCCAGGAAACAGCCAAGCAGAGAAAGCUGUAAGAAAGUGGAUCCUGGGCUGUCAAGGGCUGGAUGAAGCUUGUGACCGGUGUCAAGGAGAUGGGAUGCCAAGCCCAUGGUCAGGAAACCGUGGUUCUAUGAACCAAACUUCACAACUGCAGACAGCUGCCAAGGCCAGUGUUCAAGCACAGACAGGAGAGUGUCAGCCUCAUCUGCCAUCCAUCAGGCUCCAGUGGUUAACUCAGAGGUCAAAUUAGAGGCACUGCUCUCUGCAAGACCCGCAUAUGAAGUACAUAGGUAAAAGCUAAUACAUGUGCAUGUGGAUAAAGCACAGGGCAAGAGAGUCCAGCAAAAAAUCUUGGCAGGACAGCUGUCUCUAAAU